UACGGAGGGGGCCAGCGUUGUUCGGAAUCAUUGGGCGUAAGGGCGCGUAGGCGGCCACGCAAGUCGGAUGUGAAAUCCCUCGGCUCAACCGAGGAACUGCAUCCGAAACUGCGAGGCUCGAGUCCUGGAGAGGGUAGUGGAAUUCCCAGUGUAGCGGUGAAAUGCGUAGAUACUGGGAGGAACACCGGUGGCGAAGGCGGCUACCUGGACAGGUACUGACGCUGAGGCGCGAAAGCCAGGGGAGCAAACGGG
RNAcentral lists this ribosomal RNA (252 nucleotides) under uncultured bacterium. RNAcentral describes it as "partial 16S ribosomal RNA". It matches the Rfam family "Bacterial small subunit ribosomal RNA", at positions 524 to 776 of the family's 1533-position model. The record is from RNAcentral.